AUGGGCAACUCUCUGAUGAAGUAAGGGGACAAGCAGCAGGGAGAUAAUACACCCUUGUACACUGAUGCGGGGGAUACUAAUCCCCACUCUGGACUGGCAAUGAUGAAUGAGAUUCCUGGGCUAUGUGGAGGUGUAUUGAGCACGAGUACCGAAGUUUGUCAACAAUGACUCGGCAGAAUGGAUGCAAAUGCCCAGCCAAGUGUCAAGACUGGCCACCAACAGAUAGCAGCACACUGGCCAGCAAGCUGUGCAGUGAUGUCAGAGAGCACUGAGGCACAUGUGCUCUCGCAGAUGUGCCGG
Molecule: long non-coding RNA, 300 nt
Organism: Xiphias gladius (swordfish)
Lineage: Eukaryota; Metazoa; Chordata; Actinopteri; Istiophoriformes; Xiphiidae
Exons: 3
Source: RefSeq, a predicted model, not a curated record